AACGCACAUUGCGCCUUAUGGCUAUUCCAUAAGGCAUGCCUGUCUGAGCGUCAGUAAAAGUCCUCAAGUAGUUGACUGCUCUUUGUUGCUAUCAUCUAUCUUGGAUUUUAUCAAGAAAGUGAAUUUUUUUUUUUUAAAUAAAGAAAAAUGUUUGCUUCUUGGAAAACAACAGAUGGUCAAAAGGUUUUCUUUUACCAAAUGUUAUAAGAUUAUAAUUUCGAAUUCAUUUGGAAAUGUUGGAAAACCUCUUUUGAUAAUCUGAGAACUCACAAAAGAACAAAGGAGAAAGAUUUUCUUCUGUUCUGACUUGACCUCAGAUCAGGUAGGAGUACCCGCUGAACUUAA
This 345-nucleotide unclassified non-coding RNA is filed under the name uncultured fungus. RNAcentral describes it as "sequence contains 5.8S rRNA gene, ITS2, 28S rRNA gene". Lineage: Eukaryota; Fungi. The record is from RNAcentral.